UUUUUUAUUUUAUUUUUUUUCUUUUUAAAAAAAUCUUUAUUAUAGUUGGUUUACAAUGUUCUAGAAGUUUCUGCUGUACAGCAAAGUGACCCAGUUCUACCUAUACAUUCUUUUUCUCAUAUUAUCUUCUAUCGUGUUCCAUCCCAUGAGAUUGGCUAGAGUUCGCUGUGCUGUGCAGCAGGAUCUCAUUGCUUAUCCAUUCUAUUUUUUUUUUUUUUUUUUUUGUCUUUAUGUCUUUUCUAGGGCUGCACCCUUGGCAUACGGAAGUUCCCACGCUACGGGUGAAUGAGAGCUACAGCUGCACGCCUACACCACAGCCACGGCAACAUGGGAUCCGAGCCACAUCUGCGACCUACACCACAGCUCACGGCAACGCCGGAUCCUUAACCCACUGAACAAGGCCAGGGAUCAAACCCACAUCUUCAUGGAUGCUAGUCAGGUUCAUUACCACUGAGCCACGAUGGGCACUCCUUCUUCUUCUAUUUUUUUUUUAAGCCUCUUAACCUGAUACCUCUCAUAAACAUCCAGGCAAUUCUACCCCCAAAGUUGAAAAACACCCAAGGGCUGGGUGUUAUUUUAGGUGUGGGAGGGAACCAUGAAAUCAAAACACAGUGCAGAUCAAAGUUUGGCCCAGGGUUAGAAGAGGACGGAGGCAGGUGCCUCUUCCCGGGCAGAGUCUUGGGGAGUCCCCACCAGGUGUGGGGACAGGCCCGCCGGCCACUGCAGAUGGAGGCUGGGCAAAGACAGGGCCCCCUUCUCACCACUGGCUGGGCUCUGACCAGUCCAGCCUGGGUCCCGCUCGUUCCUGGAAGGAAUGGAACGGGUCUUCCCACUGCCGCCGUGGGCUCACACGGACUGAAUGCCCAGUCCAGCUCCUUCUUCACCUGAACUGAGGACUCUGAACUGAGAAAAGUACAACAAAGGAGCCAUCGAGAAAGGAAGUUAGAUACCGAGUGUCACGCACCCGGCCCUGGAGGGGCUGGCGGGCAUCUGCAUGAGGAGUGCCAGGGCAACAGGGGGCCAGACCCCACCUCAGCGGGGUUCAGCUCUUCAACACUUGCCUUCCCCCAGCUCUAAGUCUGUCCACACUUGCUGAGAACACAGCAGGGGGGCCAGCCACUCAGGCGCAGCGGCUGGGAAAUGGGGCCUGAGGGUCUCCGCCAGCAGCGCCGCAGGGCUAGAACACCCCGCUUCCCCAGUGGAGAUGGUGCCACACCUGCCCUCCUUUCUGGUCGCGUGACCUUGGGCCCAUCCCAGCCCCUCAAGGCCAGGUGCGCUUGCCACGCUUCUCCCAUGCUAACCAAGCCUUUGGGUCUCCUCCCAGGGGCUCCUGGGGUGACCCGUCCCUGUGCAGACAGGCUACGUGGAGCGCAGUUAUUAGAGGACUUAGUUUCGAGGUCACACUCUGGGAAUGUAGCAUCGUGUAUGUUUUCAUUUCUGGGUCUCGCCCGGCUUUAACCAAAACCAUGGACGUCAGGUUUGGUUCUCUUGACCAAGGGCAAGACUUGGACUUGGAUCCAACAGGAUUCCUGAGACUUUUCUCUAUUUCCUGACGAUCCGAGCGAUUAAAGAGCAAUGAAAUGUGCAAGUCUCUGUUGGCCUGAAACCACUUAACCUCUGGUUCUUCUGGUCCAAUAUGUUUGUAUGAGAUACACAGGCUCUGACAGGCCAACUGUGGCUCCCGACAGUGUGCUGCACACACACGUGGACAGGUGUUUGUGACUUUUAGAAAACGACGUGUCCAGCUCAGCCACAACCCUGCUGUGCGAGGCAGACCCCCGUCUGUGCCUCUCAAGUUCACGACAGUGGUGGCAACAACCUGCAAGCAAGGAAUAACCCGGAGCCGACUGAAUACCGACACUUACUGACGAGGACAAGCCAGGUAUACAGACAGCCUGCUGUGGACGGGAGCCGGCGGGAGAGAACCCCUGUUCCACAGGCUCUAGUCACACUUCUUUACAGAUCAGCAUCCAUCUGACAGAUGGAAACGUGUCGCUGCUACCUAAUUGUGCCAUAAAAUAAAGGAAGUAUCACCCAAGUAGCUUCCUUUUCAUCAUCUCACACUUCCAGUCAUCCAGUUUGGUGGGCCUUCUUUCUGAAAUAAAUCACAACUUUUUCCUAUCGUUUUCUCUUCCGGUUUCAUUGAGCCGUAAUUGACCCACAGCGCCGUGUACGUCAAGGGGGACCACGUAGUGAUCUGACUUACACAUGUUGGGUACGGAUGACCACGGUAAGUUUAGUGAACAUUCAUCAUCUCACAUAGGUACAAAAUUAAAGAGAUGGGAAAAAAAAUGUUUUCCUUGUGAUGAGAACUUUUAGGAUUUACUCUCUUAACUAUUUUUUCCUUCUUAGGGCUACACCUGUCACAUAUGGAAGUUUCCAGGGUAGGGGCCAGUUGGGGCUGCAGUGGCAGGCCUACACCACAGCCACAGCCAUGAAGGAUCUGCACUGCAUCUGCAUCCCAAGUUGCAGCUUGCGGCAAAACCAAAUCCUUACCACACUGAACCAGAUCUUAACACACUGAGCGAGGCCAGGGAUCGAACCCCCACCCUCACGGACACUGUGCUGGGUUCUUAACCUGCUGAGCCACAACGGGAACUCCACUCUGUUAACUUUCACAUGUAACAUAUAGCAGUCUUAAUUAUAGGUGUCAGGUGGUACCUUAUAUGCCUGGUACCUAUUUAUCUUGUAACUAGAAACUUGUAGCUUUUAACUGCCUUCCUCCUACCCCCACUUCUGGUAACCACAAAUUUAGUAUCAUGUGUUUGCCUAUGUUUUUAUUUUUUUAUGAACUUCUUAAAAAAACUGCAGUUGAUUUACAAUGUUGUGCUAAUUUCUGCUGUACAUGACACACACACACACACACACAUAUAUAUAUAUAUAUAUACAUGUAUCUCCUUUUUAUAUGAUCUUCCAUCAUGGUCUAUUCCAAGAGAAUGGACGUAGUUCCCUGUGCUGUGCACUAGAACCUCAUUGCUGAAAAAAGUCAAAACUUCUGAGAGAACCCAUCAUGGGCCACUGGUGGGAAAUGUGACCGUGACAGCACUGGCUCAUGAACACGUAGCAGUCACGCUGGCCUCCUGUGACCCUCAUGGCUUCUGAUCACUUCCUCUGACUUUAUGAAUUUAAGCGAACAACACACGCACACACACACACACAAAUACAAAGGUGUAGCUGUCAGAUCCCAGGGUGGAAACCAGCCUCCACCUGUGUAAUCUGACUCCUAAUGUCACCUGCGACAGAAACCACCCAUUGUCUUCCCUGUCAUUAAACAAAGAGAAAUAAAGCCAGCUAAGUUCAGUAAACAGCCGACUCAAAUUUCAGAAGCUAUUCUUAUUCAACCUCUCCUCCAGUAGAAAAACCACAAUGGUCGGGCAAAAACAAUGGGCGAGUGGUGCCAGCCGCCAGGUGAGGGCCUGCACCUGCGUCCCGAGUCAGGCACUGCCUGGACUGCCCCCCACACGUGGCCCCCGGAAGGUGGCAGCUGGGGCCCCUUUCAAGGACGGCGGUGGCUCUGAAGUGGAGGAACUUCUCAAACGCAAAUCGGCCUCUCCCGACCGAGGGUGCGGCCGUGGGGGCGGUUCUUGCACGUGGACACGCCGUGUCCCCACAAACCCUCCACCAGCCCCGGGAAAGCAUUUCCGCUGGGGCACGGCUACGAAUUGUCUCCUGCGGCCGACGGCAUUGGAAAGGCAAAGAUAAGAUGGAAAAACAAACAACACUGGCUGCCUUGGACGUCAAUAAAAAGUUGUCAGGCCACGUUCAGAGCCCCGAGUCGUGAAGAGAUCCUGCAAUCAAGCCACCAGCCACCAGCUGGAGGAAAUCUCACACACACACACACACACACACACACACACACACACACACACACACCCCCGCAUCCCGACCACAGGCUCUUUGCCAUCGGCUCUCCACCGCCUCUAUGUCGACAAACGAGGGGCUGCCAGAUUCAAGGUCCCAGACGUGGCGGUCAAGGUCCCUGCACCCCACCCCACCCCCACCACAGCAGAGAGCACGCUGCAGAACCCAUCAAAUUGGUUCUCUCCCCACCAGAUGGCAAGAGGAGGGGCAAACCCAAAAUGCAAACAGCAAAGGCUGCGCUGCCCCCUUGAACUCACCCAACAACACAUGAGGCUUUUUCCCACUCGCUGUGUACUUUCCAUGCGCCAGAGCCAAGGCUCAGAAUCUCCCUAUGUUAUUUCAUCCCAACCUGAGCACCCCUCGAGGACGUGGGGGGCGUCCCCACUUUACAGAAGACGGCCGUGGACCCCAGAAGUGGGAGGUCUCAGUUCACGGUUACAGCCUGGGUGGGACCCCGAGCUGACUCAAGCCCCACUCACUGUUCUAGUCUUAGUCUGUGCCACAUGCACAUGAGCAAGCAGGUCCACCUAUAGAAAGAACUAGAGGAUGCGCGUGACCCAGUCCCAAAGAGCCUGACCCCUCUCCCACCACUAAAGAUUACCGUAGUUAUCUCAACAACCAGCGAGUCAUCCACUCCGCAAACCAGGAGAUGACAUGCCAUGGACGUCUCGCAGGUGUAACCCAGAGCGACAACAAGGCAUCUAUUUCUAAAUGCCGUGCCAACAGCCGCAGCCACAUAAUGCCAAGGGUUCUGAGAAGGCUGCACUUCAAAGCUUGUGUCCGACGUCCCUCUAAAAGAAGAAUUCAUCUGGACCUGGCCAUGGGCGGGAGCAUGUCCGUGCAGCUGUCGUGCAGGACCUGUCCCCGGCCACAGUCAACACCUGGCAUAGCUUCCCACGUGGCACUUUCUCCACUGAUUUGCUUUUUCCCUCCUUGCUGAUAAGGCACAGGCCAAUACUGCGGUUUCCCUCUCACGCCGGCUUCCAGGAAACUGGGAGCCUUGUUUGCAGGUUUCAUCAGCUCAGUUGACAUUUACAGAGGGAGGUCUGCCUCCCAGAUCUUUCUCUCAGCCCCACCGCCUGUCAUUUCUAGUCAGUGUAUCACUCAAACCUGGUGCCCACCUUUUUUUUUUUUUUUUUUUUCAGGGCUGUACCUGCAGCAUAUGAAGGUUCCCAGGCUCGGGGUAGAAUGGGAGCUGCAGCUGCCAGCCUACAUCACAGCCACAGCAACACCAGAUCCGAGCUGCAUCUGUGACCUAUGCUGCAGUCUGUGGCAACACCAGACCCUUAACCCACUGAUUGAGACCAGGGGUCAAACCCAAAUCCUCAGAGACUGCAUCGGAUUCUUAACCCACUGAGCCACGAUGGGAACUUCCAUGGCCACAUUCUAAGCCACGGCAAUAAACAGGAAGAGAAUGUGCUACCAGAAAAGGCCCAGAAAAAUGAGCAGCAAGGCCAACAGCCAAGGGGUCAGGGCAGGAGGGCCACGUGAAGUUUCCUGGCUGCUGGGUCCCAAACACUUCAGGUGGUCACAAGGGAACCUCCGCCUGGCAGAGCAUGACGUCAUGAGGUGCAGGGGUCACGGGAGGUCACCAGGUCCUGUGGGCACAGCCUGGCACCAACCUCUCCUCUCCAACCAGGGCAGUGAAGGACGCUUCC
This 5519-nucleotide long non-coding RNA is filed under the name Sus scrofa (pig). RNAcentral's name for it is "lncRNA (ENSSSCG00065022720.1)". Lineage: Eukaryota; Metazoa; Chordata; Mammalia; Artiodactyla; Suidae. The record is from RNAcentral.